Long non-coding RNA from Myotis daubentonii (Daubenton's bat), 987 nucleotides. RefSeq lists it as uncharacterized. The record is from RefSeq and is a predicted model, not a curated record. Lineage: Eukaryota; Metazoa; Chordata; Mammalia; Chiroptera; Vespertilionidae.
GGUGCAGUGGUCACCCCAGGUAGCAGCCGCCAGCUCCUCCCCCACCUCCCCCGACCCGACCCCCAGCUCCUGGGGCCAUAAGGGGCUCCGUGGCUCAGACCCAGGUGCUGUGUGGUGUGCGUUGACCACGAAGGAGAAGAGGACGACGAGGCCGGGAAGCAGAGGAGGCCCUGGAUUCCGAGGACGCUGAGGAAGAGGAGGGGAGGGCGAGGAAGAGGACGACGCGGCCAGUGCCUGCACGGAAAGCGGCUUCAGGAGGCACAGCCCCUACAGGUCAGCUAUUUUCCAGGAAGCAGUAUGGCCAUGGGAGGAAGACUCUCAGAUUUCAGCUUUGAAGAGGAGCUCAGAUUGCCGGACUGGACUAGCUCUUCUGAAUUUCCUGAGAAUGAAGUAUGGUAGCAACCAUCUCAGGUAGAAACUGUAGUUUAACUCUAACCCUGCUGUUUGGCUUAACAAUAGAAAAGUUAUUUUGAUUUUCUGAAUUAUAUAAAUCAUCCCAUUCGAUUGAAUGCCUUAUUGAUUGUAAUGUGAAUAUCCCAUUGAUUGUGAUCUUACUGGUUUUAGGAAGCAUAUUUUUCUGGUCCCCAAUACCAGGACAGCGCAAUUACUCUAAAUUGCCUCGAUGGCUCUAGAUAAUGUGUUCCUGGUAACUCAAUGGUCCCAAGACCCGAGGGCUCUAGAUGAUGUGUUCCUGUCAACGCAGUGAUCCUGAGACCCAAAACUAUAAUUAACAUACUUAAUUCUGCUUCUGUAAACUGCUUUUUUGCGAACCAGGUUCGUCAUUCCAAACCCUGGGAUGUAAUCAGUACCCUUGUGAUUUUUGCCUCUAUAAAUCUGGUGUUGCGGCCAUCUUAUCACUUCAAGAUUUGGGAGAGCGAAAUGCCCCCUCAGAGUCACGGAUUGCAAUAAAUGUGACUCUUUAAUUCAACUUUUUGAGGUGUCCUUCUGUGAUUCGCGGGGUAAAUUAUAACAAGAUGCCAGGCCCUG